AAAAAAAAAAAAAAAAAAAAUCGAUGAUCUACACCAAAAAGACAACAAAGCAACCAAAACUUGACCAAUUACCUGAAACAAUAUUAAUAUCUUUGCUGGAGAUAUUGAAUCAAAACUAAAAGUAACCAGGGAAACACAGUAAAGACAUUUGUACUCAAGUAUUUAAAAACACCACAUGAAUCAUCUUAUUCUUCGUAAUCUUUAGCUUCCCAUUAAUACACCUUCUCGAAUGAGCAGCAACUUGAGCAUACUUGAAGACAUGUAGACAGAGUAUCAAUAAGCCACAAUGAGAGUAGAUUAGUUACCAACAACAAAGAAUACAUGCAGAAUACUGAUAUAAAGUUUCCAAUUUAAUGGAAGAAGUGAUAACACUAAACUAAGGGAUUUCAACUUUGGCAAGAUCAAAACAUUUUUGAGUUAUCAAUUUUGUUUAGGGAGCUGUACAUGUAAGAACACAAUAUAACAUAUAUUAGAGAAAGAGAUUUCUGAAAUUUAUAUACAAGUGUCAACCAAUUACUAUCAGGUUAGCUACAUUAUCAAAAUUUUGAUUUCAUUAAUUUAGCAUGUCACUCAAUCAAGAUUUGGUAUGCUGGGAAUGAAUUUGGAUCUAUUUUUUGUCUUUCUAGGACCGAUAAAAUGGGUUCUGGAACCUUGCAUGCUAAAACUAAGCAUAUUCUGCAGACAAGACCAAGAAUUAUCUCUACUACAAGAGAUAUUAAAAAAGGGAACUUAUAACCACAACAUGAAAAAUGUAACACAACAGAUCACUCACCAAUAAAAUUAAGCAAGACAAAAUAUGCAUAAUAACAAAUUACUCAUCAAAAGGUUCCAGUGUUUACCUUUUCAUUAAUAACCUACAGCAUCCCUACACCACAAAACAACAACGAAAUUCAGUAAGCCAACCUCAUGAAUUUUAAAAAAUAACACUAAAUAAUAAUUUGAUGAGCAAAAUGGUAUCGUUGCUUAAUGUCAAUAGACCAACAGCUAGCCAAAAAGAAAAUGCCACUAUAAGUUAGGAAUGAAGUGAUCCACUACUCAACUAACACCUUCAAGGAAUAACAAUCCGACUCAUAUGACAGAACUAAUUGUUGGGUCAUCAAGAGACUUCUCUAAAUCCGUGAUAGACCGACGUUUAUGAAAACCUCUUGAGGACAGAACACUUAGCAGUUCCCACCGCAUUCAUAAUGAACGCAUGACAGCUCCAUUGACACACACAACACAAACAAAGCAAGGAACAUCUAUAAGUUUCAUAGCAGAAAAAAUUGCAAAUCCAGUCCACAAAACAUACUUGCCCUAAUGAAAAGUAAUCUGCAGCAACUCAACAAAACCAUAACACAUUAUUCAAAUACACUUGAUUUGUAAAUACCGUGCAAACAAACAGAACAUGCCAACAACAUCAUCUCUUCAUGCAGAAAACCAUAAUAACAUUAUAACAGACGUACAACAUAAGGAAAACUAUUUAGCUUGAUGCCAAAAGUUAACAAAUAGUCAUCCAUCUCAUCAGGUUAAUAUAACUCAACAAAAAAAGAAAGGAUAAUGAGACAAUUACCAGGCCUAUACUACAGUUCUACACAUACAAGCAACAAAUCUACAAUUCCCAUAGUGUAUGCAGAAUCACCUCAAUCCUUAACUGCCAUAUAUCAAAAGAACUUUUAUCUGCCCAAGGGAGCAAAAUAUCAGAAUCAAGAAAAUAUAGAAAAGGAAAACAAGAAAAACCAUGAAUGUAAGCUAUGAAAAUAAUGAAACAAAAGUCAUUAUAACAAUUUGAGUCAACUUCCACCUUAUAAAACUAUAAAGUCAUCCCGACUUGAUCUAAAGGCAUAGAACCCAUAUACGGAAACAAUCAAAUUAAUUAGAGACUAAAAACCAUUCUACAGUAUUAAUAC
Molecule: long non-coding RNA, 1886 nt
Filed under: Fragaria vesca (wild strawberry)
Lineage: Eukaryota; Viridiplantae; Streptophyta; Magnoliopsida; Rosales; Rosaceae
Description: long non-coding RNA (FVES_LNC001174)
Source: RNAcentral